This 497-nucleotide ribosomal RNA is filed under the name uncultured bacterium. RNAcentral describes it as "partial 16S ribosomal RNA". It matches the Rfam family "Bacterial small subunit ribosomal RNA", at positions 28 to 507 of the family's 1533-position model. The record is from RNAcentral.
GAUGAACGCUGGCGGCGUGCCUAAUACAUGCAAGUCGAGCGAACGGACGAGAAGCUUGCUUCUCUGAUGUUAGCGGCGGACGGGUGAGUAACACGUGGAUAACCUACCUAUAAGACUGGGAUAACUUCGGGAAACCGGAGCUAAUACCGGAUAAUAUUUUGAACCGCAUGGUUCAAAAGUGAAAGACGGUCUUGCUGUCGCUUAUAGAUGGAUCCGCGCUGCAUUAGCUAGUUGGUAAGGUAACGGCUUACCAAGGCAACGAUGCAUAGCCGACCUGAGAGGGUGAUCGGCCACACUGGAACUGAGACACGGUCCAGACCCCUACGGGAGGCAGCAGUAGGGAAUCUUCCGCAAUGGGCGAAAGCCUGACGGAGCAACGCCGCGUGAGUGAUGAAGGUCUUCGGAUCGUAAAACUCUGUUAUUAGGGAAGAACAUAUGUGUAAGUAACUGUGCACAUCUUGACGGUACCUAAUCAGAAAGCCACGGCUAACUACGUG